RNAcentral lists this long non-coding RNA (949 nucleotides) under Citrus sinensis (sweet orange). RNAcentral describes it as "long non-coding RNA (CSIN_LNC002691)". Lineage: Eukaryota; Viridiplantae; Streptophyta; Magnoliopsida; Sapindales; Rutaceae. The record is from RNAcentral.
UCAAAUAUUGGAUUAUUAUUAUUAUUAUUAGCGAGCGGUUUUCAACUGUUCUUAUCGCCACAGCUAGAAUAAUGCAAAAAAAUUAAAGAGGUAGAUAUUCAAUUAAUUAAGUUUUAACUUUCAAUCAUUAUUAUUCAUUAAUGUAAUCUUCAAUUAUUGAUUUGUCAUUAUUUGGCGGCGCAUGAUUCCGUUUAAUCAGCAACCAAAUCCAGCUCUGAGUUGUUGGAACCACAAACGAUCGCUAGAUUGCAGCACACCUGAUCAACAACUUGGACGUAUGAUAUUAAUUAUAUAAAAAAAAUAUAUCAUAUAGAAAAAUUUGAAUGCAGUAUUGAGCCGACUUAUACUCAUCACCAACUCUAAAUAUUACUAAAAUGCUGUCUUUUUUUUUUUUUGUCUGGCUGAAAGCUAGCGAAGCCUUUGCUUCACAUAUAUAAUCAACACGAGCAUGGUUUAAAGUCGUCGAAAUAGACCACACAUAAUAAUUAAUACAACUUCGUCAUCAUCUCUGAAGUAUCAAAGAUUGGUUUUGCUCCUCAUUUUUCUAGAAUGUUUCAUAUGUAUAUAUAUGUGUGUGUGUGUGUGUCAAUUGUUGUGGACAAAUAGAAGUUUCAAACGUCAAUGGCAUCAUGUGAGUUUGUUUGUUUCUGGGAUUAUUAGAUCAAAGCAAAAUAAUAACACUAAACUCCGGCUACUGCAAAGUCCAAACAUGUUGUGUCCUCGGUGCGUAGACUUGCUUUCAUCAAUUCCAUUGACCGGCAGCCCCAUAGCAUUUAUUCAUGCAACUCUUAUAUGCACAAAAAACAAAAAAAAACAAAAAAUUGGGUGAGAAAUAAUUGCUUAGUUUGAUUCUAGAACGGUGCAGAAGAUGCUAAUUUUGAGAUUGAUUAUUACGAACCCAUGGUUCAGUUCUGAUAAUAGAGUUAAGGCUUCAUCAAGUGGAACCACC